RNAcentral lists this long non-coding RNA (616 nucleotides) under Capsicum annuum. Its description in RNAcentral is "long non-coding RNA (CANN_LNC002740)". The record is from RNAcentral. Lineage: Eukaryota; Viridiplantae; Streptophyta; Magnoliopsida; Solanales; Solanaceae.
UUACUUAAAUAACUGCAUCAAUUUGAGAAGUAAAGAAUUACAUUAUGAAUUAUAUCAUUAGUGAACAUGCAUACUAAAGGUGUUAGUUCAUCGUAAUGGAGUAUAUGAUAAACAGGGCAGAGUGGCGGCAUCUAUACAACAAACUACUAUUCCUUCUUUUCAAAAUUUGCGCGUAAUGGAAUCACUAACGCCGAUUUGACUGAAUCCAAACAGUCUUGACCAAUCCCGCUAAUUAAUAUACUUUCCCAACAGACAAUUUGGAGUAACAAAAUCAUAUAAAAUAAGGGUUAACAGUAGUAAAGCUGGCCAUUAUUUGAAUAUCUGCAGGUUUUUCUCAAAGAUAAUUUUGACAAAUGCGAAGUUUUAAAUCAGUCUCAAGGAAGUUAGAAGAUGACUCCAUGGUUUUACAUAGGAGAGCAGGGAAAUCAAUAUCAGCAGAGUCCAAAUAAACACAUCCUCUAAAACAACAAGCAACUAAAUUUUUAAACACAUAGACACAUAGUCAAUCAUCGAGAGUAAAAUCCCAUGUCAAUUACCCCAUUCCACAGUAAUAUACCGAUGGUCAAUACACAAUUAUAUCAACGCCAGAAGUUGCAAUCAGAAUCACAUCGAAGCG